Molecule: long non-coding RNA, 364 nt
Filed under: Phoenix dactylifera (date palm)
Lineage: Eukaryota; Viridiplantae; Streptophyta; Magnoliopsida; Arecales; Arecaceae
Description: long non-coding RNA (PDAC_LNC013887)
Source: RNAcentral
UCAAAGCUAAAGGGAUUUCCACCAACCAAAAGCUCUCUAGAGUGAUUACACGAAAAAGAAGGAAGAAGUGCAUUGAAGUCGACUCUCCAACUGUCUUCCUCACAUUCAAGGCUCUCCUCCUGACAGCAAGUCUACAUCAAAUUCAAGAGGAGUCAAAGAGUUUGAAAAGCCCCUUCCUCCAUCUCCAAAAUCAGUUUGAGGGCUUCUUACUCUUCCUUGCUUAAAUUGUUUAAAUACGCUUUUGAGAAGCUUCCUUUUUGUUUGUGUCAAACUAUUUGUUACUUACUUGAUUCAAUCAGGGGAUUGAAUCAAGGGUGUUAAGGUUUGUUGGUGAGCCAAGGUUAAAACCAACGUUGUAAGGGUU